UUUUUUUAACUAACAAGCCCAAGAUUGAUCUUGUGGGAACAAGAUCAAGCCAUGCUCUGAUACUAAAUGAUAUAAGAAUGCAUAAGGGAAACACAAAACAAACACCAAAUCAAUUCACAAGUUUGAAGAACUGAGGACCCAUUUGGUGACCACUCUUGGAUUCACUACAACAAUAAUAAAAACACAAUAACAACAAGAUAUUGAAGG
RNAcentral lists this long non-coding RNA (207 nucleotides) under Capsicum annuum. RNAcentral's name for it is "long non-coding RNA (CANN_LNC018987)". The record is from RNAcentral. Lineage: Eukaryota; Viridiplantae; Streptophyta; Magnoliopsida; Solanales; Solanaceae.